This 253-nucleotide ribosomal RNA is filed under the name uncultured bacterium. RNAcentral's name for it is "partial 16S ribosomal RNA". It matches the Rfam family "Bacterial small subunit ribosomal RNA", at positions 524 to 776 of the family's 1533-position model. The record is from RNAcentral.
UACGUAGGGGGCUAGCGUUGUCCGGAAUCAUUGGGCGUAAAGCGCGUGUAGGCGGCCCGAUAAGUCCGCUGUGAAAGUCCAGGGCUCAACCCUGGGAUGCCGGUGGAUACUGUCGGGCUCGAGUCCGGAAGAGGCGAGUGGAAUUCCUGGUGUAGCGGUGAAAUGCGCAGAUAUCAGGAGGAACACCAAUGGCGAAGGCAGCUCGCUGGGACGUGACUGACGCUGAGACGCGAAAGCUAGGGGAGCAAACGGG